RNAcentral lists this ribosomal RNA (934 nucleotides) under uncultured bacterium. RNAcentral describes it as "bacterial SSU rRNA". It matches the Rfam family "Bacterial small subunit ribosomal RNA", at positions 60 to 1014 of the family's 1533-position model. The record is from RNAcentral.
AGUCGAACGAGUUUCCGGGCUUGCUCGGAAAUUAGUGGCGAACGGCUGAGUAACGCGUAGGUGACCUACCCCGUAGUGUGGAAUAACUGCCCGAAAGGGUAGCUAAUACCGCAUGUUGAGCCGACAUCAAUGUCGUCUCCAAAGCAGAAAUGCGCUAUGGGCGGGGCCUGCGUUCGAUUAGCUAGUUGGUGGGGUAAUGGCUCACCAAGGCGACGGUCGAUAGGUGGUCUGAGAGGACGAUCACCCAGACUGUGACUGAGACACGGCCCAGACUCCUACGGGAGGCAGCAGUCGGGAAUUUUGCGCAAUGGGGGAAACCCUGACGCAGCAAUACCGCGUGUGGGAUGAAGGCCUUCGGGUCGUAAACCACUUUUUUCGGGGACGAUAAUGACGGUACCCGAAGAAUAAGCCACGGCUAACUACGUGCCAGCAGCCGCGGUAAUACGUAGGUGGCAAGCGUUGUCCGGAUUUACUGGGCGUAAAGCGCGCGCAGGCGGUGAAUGAAGUCGAAAGUGAAAGCCCCGAGCUCAACUCGGGAACUGCUUUCGAAACCAGUUCACUUGAAGGUGGAAGAGGGAAGUGGAAUUCCGAGUGUAGCGGUGGAAUGCGUAGAUAUUCGGAGGAACACCAGAGGCGAAGGCGACUUCCCGGCCCAAUCUUGACGCUGAGGCGCGAAAGCUAGGGGAGCAAACAGGAUUAGAUAUCCUGGUAGUCCUAGCUGUAAACGAUGGAUACUAGGUGUUGGAGGUUUUAACCCCUUCGGCGCCGCAGCUAACGCAUUAAGUAUCCCGCCUGGGGAGUACGGCCGCAAGGCUAAAACUCAAGNAAUUGACGGGGCCCCGCACAAGCAGCGGANCGUGGGGUUUAAUUCGAUGAUACGCGAAGAACCUUACCANGGCUNGACNUGCACAUGACCGCGGCNGGANCGUCGCUU